GGGGAAGCAUAUACUGCAGUCGAGCGAGCUUGCCUAGAUGAUUUUAGUGCUUGCACUAAAUGAAACUAGAUACAAGCGAGCGGCGGACGGGUGAGUAACACGUGGGUAACCUGCCCAAGAGACUGGGAUAACACCUGGAAACAGAUGCUAAUACCGGAUAACAACACUAGACGCAUGUCUAGAGUUUGAAAGAUGGUUCUGCUAUCACUCUUGGAUGGACCUGCGGUGCAUUAGCUAGUUGGUAAGGUAACGGCUUACCAAGGCAAUGAUGCAUAGCCGAGUUGAGAGACUGAUCGGCCACAUUGGGACUGAGACACGGCCCAAACUCCUACGGGAGGCAGCAGUAGGGAAUCUUCCACAAUGGACGAAAGUCUGAUGGAGCAACGCCGCGUGAGUGAAGAAGGGUUUCGGCUCGUAAAGCUCUGUUGGUAGUGAAGAAAGAUAGAGGUAGUAACUGGCCUUUAUUUGACGGUAAUUACUUAGAAAGUCACGGCUAACUACGUGCCAGCAGCCGCGGUAAUACGUAGGUGGCAAGCGUUGUCCGGAUUUAUUGGGCGUAAAGCGAGUGCAGGCGGUUCAAUAAGUCUGAUGUGAAAGCCUUCGGCUCAACCGGAGAAUUGCAUCAGAAACUGUUGAACUUGAGUGCAGAAGAGGAGAGUGGAACUCCAUGUGUAGCGGUGGAAUGCGUAGAUAUAUGGAAGAACACCAGUGGCGAAGGCGGCUCUCUGGUCUGCAACUGACGCUGAGGCU
This 750-nucleotide ribosomal RNA is filed under the name uncultured bacterium. Its description in RNAcentral is "bacterial SSU rRNA". It matches the Rfam family "Bacterial small subunit ribosomal RNA", at positions 41 to 753 of the family's 1533-position model. The record is from RNAcentral.